Molecule: ribosomal RNA, 133 nt
Filed under: uncultured bacterium
Lineage: Bacteria
Description: partial 16S ribosomal RNA
Source: RNAcentral
GUAUUUAGCCGUCGCUUCUUCUGUAGGUACCGUCAUUUUUUCUUCCCUACUGAAAGCACUUUACGAUCCGAAGACCUUCAUCGUGCACACAGAAUUGCUGGAUCAGGCUUGUGGCCCCAUUGUCCAAUAUUCC